CCCAGACUCCUACGGGAGGCAGCAGUGGGGGAUAUUGCACAAUGGGGGAAACCCUGAUGCAGCAACGCCGCGUGAGUGAAGAAGUAUUUCGGUAUGUAAAGCUCUAUCAGCAGGGAAGAAGAAAGACGGUACCUGACUAAGAAGCCCCGGCUAACUACGUGCCAGCAGCCGCGGUAAUACGUAGGGGGCAAGCGUUAUCCGGAUUUACUGGGUGUAAAGGGGGCGCAGACGGCAGCGCAAGCCAGGAGUGAAAGCCCGGGGCCCAACCCCGGGACUGCUCUUGGAACUGCGCGGCUGGAGUGCAGGAGGGGCAGGCGGAAUUCCUGGUGUAGCGGUGAAAUGCGUAGAUAUCAGGAGGAACACCGGUGGCGAAGGCGGCCUGCUGGACUGCGACUGACGUUGAGGCCCGAAAGCGUGGGGAGCAAACAGGAUUAGAUACCCCUGUA
This 446-nucleotide ribosomal RNA is filed under the name uncultured bacterium. Its description in RNAcentral is "partial 16S ribosomal RNA". It matches the Rfam family "Bacterial small subunit ribosomal RNA", at positions 330 to 792 of the family's 1533-position model. The record is from RNAcentral.